Molecule: ribosomal RNA, 475 nt
Filed under: uncultured bacterium
Lineage: Bacteria
Description: bacterial SSU rRNA
Rfam family: Bacterial small subunit ribosomal RNA
Source: RNAcentral
AAUGAACGUUGGCGGCGUGGAUUAGGCAUGCAAGUCGAGCGAGAAACCAAUUAGCUUGCUAUGAGGUGGACAGCGGCGAAAGGGAGAGUAACGCGUGGUUACGUGCCCUCGGGACCGGGAUAGUGUCGGGAAACUGGCAGUAAUACCGGAUGAUAUCUUCGGAUCAAAUGGUGAGAUUCCGCCCGAGGAUCGGACCGCGUACUAUUAGCUUGUUGGCGGGGUAAUGGCCCACCAAGGCUGAGAUGGUUACCGGGUGUGAGAGCAUGGCCCGGCUCACUGGGACUGAGACACUGCCCAGACAUCUACGGAUGGCUGCAGUCGAGAAUCUUCGGCAAUGGACGAAAGUCUGACCGAGCGACGCCGCGUGCGGGAUGAAGGCCCUCGGGUUGUAAACCGCUGUCAGUUGGGAGGAAAUCCAUGGGGGUUCUCCCCUGUGGUUGACCGAGCUUCAGAGGAAGGACGGGCUAAGUUCGUG